UUUUUUUUUUUUUUUUUUUUUUUUUUUUUUUUUUUUCUGCUUGUGAUAUACUGUUUUUGCUGACUUAUACUUGGCCUUUCAUUGCUAGCACCUUAUAUAAUUUUGUAGGGUUAACAAAAGUUAACAAAGUGACAAUGUUGGUGACAAAUGAACGUGGAAAGAAUUGCAUUGCUAAAAAUAAUUGGUGAAAUGUCAUUCUCUAAUGCUAUUAUAGAAACACAUACGUAACUCUGCUGACCAUUAACAUCAACUCACUGUGUUUGUUUGAGCUUGACUCGUAUUCUCUAAUUGUGCCACCGCCACCUGUGUCCUAAAGCGGGUCCGACAUAACUUAUAACCUUGUACCCUGAAGACUGAUCUGGACAUCAACAUACCAUUUUUAGCAGCACAAAACACCAAAUAGCCCCCCCAAAAACAAAAUAGGAAAAAGAUAAAAAAAAAAAAAAAAAAAAAAGACAUUCAAGUAAUGAUGUGUCUCAAUUUGACGAUAGCUCUCUCUCUCUGCAGCUAUGUCCAUUAUAUUGGCCACAUAAGUUUAUGAAAUUUUCAUCGACCGUCCACUUGGCCUGGCCUUUUUAAUGUUAAAUCAUCAAUGGACCAAGAGUUUGUACAAAUUAGAAUUUGAUCUUCUUGAAAGGACAAGCACAGUCGUUUUGUCUUUUUUUUUUUUUUUUUUUUUUUUUUUUUUAUAGAAUUUGGACCACUUUGAAUUCUACCCUUUGGACACACCGAACUGGAAAAUCAAUCGAAUUUAUUAUUUUUUAGUAGUCUUUUCUAGUGAAGUGGUCACUUUGGUUUUCAAUUACUGUUUUUCUGGUUGAAAUUCACGUAUUAGAGCGUCAGGAAUAAAACAAAUCAAAAAUUCAAAAAAAUGUUACCUAACAUUUCUAGAUUAUUUAUUUUUUUUAUUAAUGUUAUUUUCUUUAUGAUUAAUGUUUUGAAACUCAUUUUUACUUCCAUAAUUUUAUUAUUACCGGUUGAAGAUUCAACCCCUCCGUUAUUGAAAGAUUUGAAAUAUAACACGCAUUAAUUAUGAUGUAUUGAUCAUUUGUCUUCGAAACUGAUGUCAAAUUGUUAUUGGUCGGAAUUCUAAACCCCAACUUGGCUACUAACUGAUGGAGACUUGCUAUUUGCUACUAACAUUUUAUGUGAUUUGAUUUGUUGGAAUUUGAAUCAUUUUAUCCACUAUGUGUUUCUUUGGCUGAGAAAAGAUAAAUAAAUUAUAAAAAUUGAUAAAUUUUAAUUUAACCGUUAAUGCUAUUAUCUUGAAAUUAUGACUUUUUAUAUUAAUAACAGUUAUUGUAAAAAUACUUUUUAAAUUUAUAAGAAAAGCAAAAAAACAGGAAGCUAAUGUCCUACUUUUUUAUUUCUUUAAUAGAAAAUAUUAGAAAAACAUUUUUCUUUAUUGUUUCAACUCAAAGAAAGUCUGGUGUAUGAUGUAAAAGAUAGAAAAUGAUUAGAAAUUUGACGUCAUAUUAAGAAUUGGAAUCCUCUUUGACUUUUUUUUGAAUGGCAGAUAGCAUAGGAAUAAUACCAAAUAAAGUGGAAUUUAUAUUAUUAUCCACUUAAUUAGCAACCAUUAAACCUUUGUAUUAUUUUUUUUUUUCAUACUUUAUCAAUUACAAAAUCUCUCUCUAAUCGCAUAAACAAUAUAUAAUAAAUUGAUAUUAUAUACUUUUAACUAUAUAAAAGUAAUGACCUGACAUUAAUCGAUACUAAAUUCGAACCUCUGUACUCUUAAUUUUUAAAGUUAUAAAUUAUAAUUUAUGUAUUGGAUUCAUAUAUAUGGGACAAAAGCACAAGUUCAAGAUUAGUUGUAAUAAACUCAAGAAAUGAUCUUCAGUAUACUUCAAGACUUUGGUUAUUUUCACACAUUAUUUCUGUAGUUUUAACCUUUCCUCGUUUUUAUGAUUUUUUUUUUUUUUUUGAAGCAAAAAGAGAAAAAACAUUUGUCCUCUUAUGAUUCUUUAAUUUUUGAUUUUCAAUAAAAACAAAAUCAAAUUAAAGUUCUAUUUACUAACGAAGAUCGAAUAAGGCCCCACAAAUCUGUAUAAAAUCUUGAUUUCUCUUGUCUAUGUGGAUUUGUAUUGGAGUGUGACAUUUCAAGUCGGUAAAUAUAUUAGUUUCUAUUUUUUUUUUAAAUAAAUUUAUUUCAUUUUAUUAUUUCUUAAAUAAUGAAAUGGGAUAUUUUUAGUCAAUUUUUCCAUAGUGAUAUUGAUUAGUAAUUUUGAUUAACGUUUAAUGAUGGACUUUCGAAAGGAUUUGCUUAAUUAACAGUCAAGAAAUCUAAUUACACUUCAUAUGGACCAUUCAAAUUUUCAAUCUUUUUGUUUUUUUUUUUGGAUGAAAGGACAAAGAAGGGUCUGGAUCAAUACCUAGAUAUGGAGGUUUAGACAAAUUUAGGGUUAGGAUAGAACCUAAUUAAUUAAGUUAUAUAAGUAGUUUGAUUAGAUAUAAAACAAUAUUAUAUUCUACCUAAUUAACAACAAGUUUUAAACUUGUAAUGUAAUGUCAAAAAAAAAAAAAAAAAAACUUGUAAUGUGAAUGCAGACAAGGUCAAACACAUUGCUAUAUGGCAAGGGCGCAAGAUAGUGAGCCAAUGAGAGUGAUCAAUAAGAAGGACAAAAGAGGUCAUAUCAAUGUGUACAACCUGCAAAUUAAUGGAUUGUCCCACCAAAAACUUUAGUAUUACUCCCUUAAACUUAUCGAAAACGUUUGUAAUUAAAAUUGAAAUGACUAUGAUUUAAAAUUUUUAAAGAUCAAUUAGAUUAUAUUUGAUUGGCAGUUUAAAUUUUUUAUUUGUAUUAGAAAAUAGUUGGUUUUUAACCAUGUGGUGAUGUGGGUUGGAUUCCCCAGCUUAAGGCCCCAAAUAAUUAUGUGAAUGUUAGAGGAUUUUCUAUAUAUGCCCACCUAAUUAAUUAAACAGCCAUAGUGAUUAUAGAAUUCUAACACUCGCUUAAUAUGGUGAUUAAUGGUUAACUUAAUGGGCAAGAGUGAUUGCAGAAUUGCAAUUUAAAAAUAAUGAAAAAUGGAAAAUAUUGUAAUUGGACAAACUUUUUGUCUAGCAAAAUGGCUGAGUGCGGCUAUGAUUGUGACCAAACCUCUCUAUCACAUUGCAGUAAUUAAGUUUAAGUUUAUUAAAUAAAAUAUUUAUUGUUUAGCAUACAUUAUUGACCGCACUACUGAUUUUUAGGGGAGGUAAUGGAUCUUGAUUUGCUAAAAGAGGAAAUCAAAGAUAUAUAUUCUUUGUUUCAUUUAAUGAAGAUAUUUAUAAAAUGUGAAUUCUUGCAUCAGAAGCUAAAGCAGAAAGUUUGGAAUGGGUAAUGUAUAUUAAAUAAUUAAAAAUAAAGUCCACUAAAAAAAUAUUAAAAUAAAGCAACUUAAAUUUGUACUCAAUGAAUAAAAUAAAUUAACAAAAACAAGAAAAGUAUCCAUUGCCAAUUUAAUAUUCUAAACGAGGGAAUUUUCAAAUAUUUACUUUCUUUAGGUUAGAGAUAUAUUUUUACACAUAAGAUAGUAUCAGUAUUUAAUUUUAACAUUGGAAAAUGAGAAAUACGGAAAUUAGUGAAAACGACAAGUUAUAAUAACAGCCAAUACAAAGGGGACAAGCCGUUGAUUUAGAACAUUAAAAUUUGCUCCCCAAACUGCUAACAGUCCAAAUAGAGAAAAGCUUAAUUAAAAAAACAUUUGGCAGCGACACGUGGCUAUUAGACACGUAGGGACAAUGACUCCAUGCGCCAACGCACAAUCUGCCUUAGCCCAAAAGUAAAGCCAAAACCAAAUCCGAUUCCAAGCUACCGAAUCUAAGCUGUUUUACACUCCCCCCUUUCUAUUUUUAUUUUUUAUAAUUUAUAUACUCCACGCUCCUUGCCAUCGUGUGGGCGUUUAUUUUUGUUUUUUUUUAUUUACUUUUAAAUUUUUAUUACUGCUGUAAGAUAAUAUUUACAUUAAGACAGACUGAGCCCAUUACAAGCACUGUAGAUAAAUUCUUUUUUUCAGGAAAUUAAAUUGAAAAAACAGUGAGACAGAGAUAACAUAUAUGGAGUUCAAAUAUAAGCAAUAUACAUUGGAAAAAAACACCUAUAGUUCCAAAAGAGCGAGCAUUGAUCCCAAACUCAAGUUGCUGACUGCUGAGCCUGUCUGUGUUUCCCCAAUUUGUUGUCAAAAACCGGGACCACGUCCACGUAACACCCUUACCGGUACACGCAUGACACGCGCGUCGAUUGCGAGUUAGAAAACCAUUCCAUCUGAAAAUAUCUAACCAUGAGGGACCACGGACUUGUAACAAAAGAUUAUAAAAGCGGAGGCACGUGGGUCCCAUUCUCGUGACCCAAGAAAUAUCACAAACCAUACGGGUUUGGCUUCCUGCCACGUUAACUCAUCUUACAGUAGGCGCGCGUCCGCUUAUAUAUUGCGGUGCUACCUCAACGACAUUAAAAUAAUAAUAAUAAUAAUAAAAAUAAAAAUAAAGAGCCGGCUGUGAGACGGCCCAACCCAUCCGCACCACCUGCUUCUCCUCCUUCCUCCAUAAGAAGCAGCUUCACUUUCUUUUAGAGGAGAAUUAAAUACAGCCUAGUUUAUGGGAUGGAGUCUAACAACGUCGUAGCACCGUUCGUUAUGAAGACUUAUCAGAUUGUCAAUGAUCCAAAGACGGAUACGAUAAUCAGUUGGGGCAAAGCCAAUAACAGCUUCAUCGUCAUCGACCCGUUAGAUUUCUCACAGAGGAUCUUACCUGCUUAUUUCAAACACAACAACUUCUCUAGCUUCGUUCGUCAAUUAAACACCUAUGUAAGUCCCUCUAAUUAUAAUUAAUUAAUAUAAAUACGCCUAAAAUAUUAUUAAUUAAUAGUGUUUUAACGUUAAUUUUAAUUAUUAACAGGGUUUUAGAAAAGUGGAUCCCGAUAGAUGGGAAUUCGCAAAUGAAUGUUUCUUAAGAGGCCAAAAGCAGUUACUGAAGAAUAUAGUUCGUAGAAAGCAUAGUAAGAGCUCAUUUAUGCAAGGUAAAAUUGAGGACUUUGACAAUGAAGAGUUGGUUAUGGAGAUAGCGAGGUUGAAGCAGGAACAGAAGCUUCUAGAGAAAGAGCUUGAAGGGAUGAACAAACGUUUAGAGGCUACGGAGAGAAGACCUCAACAAAUGAUGGCUUUUCUUAACAAAGUCGUCGAGGACCCUGAUCUUCUUCCUCGCAUGAUGCUCCAGAAGGAACGAACCAGACAAUUAACUGAAAAGAAACGCCGUCUUAUGAUUUCUUCUUCUUCGUCGUCCUCUGGUGGAGCCGCCGUUUCUAGUUCUGUUAAGUCUGAAGAAGAAGAAGAGGAGGGAAACAUAGGGGUAAUAUCGUCACAAGAGAAUAAUAACCUUUGGCAAUCAUCCCCGUCGCCGGAGACAAAUCCUAUAAGAUGGUUAGGAGAAGGAAACUACGGUUGUUUGAUAGAGCCUGGUCUGUUAACGUCGGGUUCUUCAGUAGGUGCAGGGAUUGGGAAUAGUGUGACUGUAGCGGUGUCUCCGCCAGGGAACGGUUUGAUAGUUUAUGGCGGUGAUAGGGUAGGGGAAAUUAGUUAUUUUGCAGGACUGGAGGCGGGGGUGGAUGCAAGACCGCCACCGCCUUAUCCAUUUUCGCUUUUAGGAGGUGGCUUUUAGCUGCUAUUAACAAGAAAUAUCAUCUUGGAUUCUAUAUACCUUCUGUAUUAAUUUUGCUUUUUGGUAUAUUGCCUUUUCUUUAUCCCUUUCUUUGGUUUAAUAAUUCUUGUAAAAAAACAGAAGUAAUUUAAUUUUGUGGUUAAUAUGCUGUUUAUAUUGAUAAUACAUUUCCAACAAAUCUUCUUUUAUAUAUAUACACACAAAUCAUAAAUAUAUAAAUAAAAUUAUUUCGCAAAAAUAUAUAUAUAUUUUUUAUAAGAAAAUUAUGACAUAAUCCUCUUAUUAGAGGGAGGUUGAGAAAUGGUGGUAUAACUAUGAAUGAUCGACAUGUUAUUUUUCUGUAAAAAUGAUCAGACGGCAUUCACUUUUAUGUAUUAAUAACAAAUUACAAGAAGUUGUCUUGUGCAUGAACCUGAACCUGAACCUGACGUUCCUGGAUUCUGAUUCUUUCUUCCUUUUUUUUUUUCUUUCUGCAACCUAUGAAAAGGCGGUUGGACCUUUUUAAUUUUCGGAGUUAUCAAUUUCACAAAGUUGGGGAGCAGACGGAUAAGUUAUCCAUCCAUAAUCCAUUGACACCGCCGCAGCAAUUUGCUAUGCCUCACUUCGCCUUUUACCCAAUUAGAACACGCCACAUGUCAGAGUCUGGCUUAACCCACUGUACUUUGCCCUCCUAAUAUUGGCAAAGUGGCAGUGGAAGUCAAAUAUUUGAGGGAAUCAGAAUUUAAUAAAAAGAAAACGCAGGCAUGUGACUCGCCUCUUUCAGAUCACAUUGGGGCACACUUUCAGAUCAUCAUCAUCAUCAUCACCAAUUAAAAAAAUAAAAAUAAAAAUAAAAAUUUACACGGUUGGAAAAGGCAAACACCCUUUUUUAAUACCUCUCUGUGCUCUUGUCCCACCUGAGCUGGCACUCCUUGUUUUCUUGCUUUCCCAGUUAGCCUUACCCUUCACAGCAAAAUCACGUGCCAUCUGCGUGACAGUUGAGAUGCGAAUUUCCUCUUUAUAGCCUCAUCAUAGACACCACGUGAAGGACAAAGUUAAAACAACACCUAUAUUGUCCAAAUCUGAUUAAUCUAGGAUUCAUGUUAAUGUAAUUAAUUUCAGAAUAGAGUAAGCUUUGUUAUUGUUGGUAAAUAUUGUCCUAUGACUCCACGCGUACAUUUACCAGAAGUUUGAUAUACAGUAGCAGUAAAUUAGUAACAGUACAAGUGACGAGAGGUGAACGUGAGAAGUCGAUCACGUGGGACCCGUAAAGCGACUAAAUCCCGUUUUUGGAAGUUUUAUCGGAGGACGCGUGUCAACCAAGUGGACAUAUUACUAUGUGAUGUGGGGCCAAGCGCUGACAAGGACUAAUUGCGGAGGGAGGCCUGAAGGUGUGGGGACAUGUAAAGGGCAUCUUGUCUUGUGGGGACCAAUCCUCGUCUAGUGAGUCCACGUGGGGAGUGUAAGAGGAGGGAGUGGCACGUGUUAGCAUUCCGAUGCUAUCGCUUUUUAGUGUUCACAUGGAUAUGAGGAAGAGGAGGCCCCCCUCCCAUCAAACUCCAACUCCAACUCCAACUCCAACCCCAACCCAGCCCAGGCCCUGUUGCGGUGCACCUCUGGCACACAAAAUCAUGCUAGGCGUUGAACCCAUUACUUGAGUAGGUCCCACCACGUGUCAACUCUUUUCUUUCUUAAUUCGUUUAUUUUAUUAUUAUCAUUAUUAUUAUUAGAAUAAUAAUCUAACUACAACAACUUGAGACUGAGAUACGUUAUAACCCAACCCAACCCAAAUCCAGUCCAAACAAAAUAUCCUCUAGCUAAAUUCUUAGUAUUUUAAUUUUUAAAUACAAACUGGAAAGGAAGAGGGACACGUGGCCAUUUGAAAGACAAGGAAAGUCACUGUCUAAUGGAGAUGAACCAAUCAGAACCAUUAAUUUAGGUAAAUAAUUGUGGCUUUAUGAUUAUAAAGUGUGGUUAAACCACGGCCACGUAAAAUGAAUCAGGCACGUCACCCUCCGACUGAUAAAAAAAAAUAUUAGAAAUUAGAAUACAUGUGAUGUACAUUAGGACUAAGGCAAUGGUGUAACUUUAUGAUCCACUGAUUAUAGGAUAGGACCCAUUAACUGAAAAUGAAUAAAUAAAUAAACAAAUAAAAAAAUAGUGGAGUUUGUGUCCCACAGCUGAGAUGAUAAGUAAUCGCUCUAAUAUUACUCGCAAUUUUCGCACGCUUGGUUUAUUUAUUCUUAAGCUGCUUCAAACCGGCAUGCAAAUCAUACAUACAAUUAUUGACCGCAAAAGAAAAUGAGUGACUGUUCGCGCGGCUGACUCACAGCUUGAAUUGUCAUUUACGGUCUAAUACACCAUCUGUAAAACUGAACGAAUUUAAUAAAUAUUAAAUUCUUGUAAUUUUCUAGAAUUUGAAGAAUUAUAUUAUAUCAUGCAAUUUAAACAAUUUGCUUAUUGCGAAGCCAACAAUUUUGAAUUCAGAAUUGUUAUGAUGACAAUCCCACAAAAUAUGGAUGAAGAAAUGGAAAGUCUUUCCCAUGAAACGCUUAAUCAAACACAUGCUUCGAAAAUUCCUACCUUGAAAUAUUGACUGAUAACAUUUGAAGACCCUUUACCAUUGAUUUUUUGUUAAGCCGCCUAACAAUCAUUAGACUUGAAAUCUUGAAUUAAUUUGAUAUAGACCAUAUAAAAAAAAAAAAAAAAAAAAAGUUUGGAAAUUACCUUCUUUUCGAAAAAAACAAAAAAAAAGAAAAAAGAAAAACACUAACGACGUUAAUAAUAGCAGGAUUUCGGCUCAAAAGCCGAUACGACGUCCAUUGGGCUAAGCAUCAGAAGCCCAAUAUGUGCAAGGUUUUGGGUUUCUUGUAGUGGACCUAAUGUAUACUUAACCGAGCAAUUGGGUUUGCAUAGGGGUGUUUUAUUGCUUUCGGACUUCGAUGAAGCCCAGCCCAUAUUGUAUAGAUUUUGAUAACUGAGGAGACCUAAAAUUUUGUCAUGUCAAACUAAACUGUACCAAAGGAUCAGUAUUUGUCACAAAAAACUAAAAGAUCCUGGCCAUUAAUCCCACUUUUGCCUAACAAGUAACCACCCAACUAAAGUAGUAGGCCGAGCAAUGCCUUUUCAUACUGUCUCAUAAAUACAAAAUUUAUAAAUUAGGUAAUGGAGCCUUUAUUAUUAUUAUUAUUAUUAUUAUUUUUUCAAUACUUUAUUAUUAUGCUUUUGAAGUUGGGCUAUAAUCAGAUUUUGCUAAGAAAUAAUAAGGCCCACCAACUAACAUUUGAAGUCCCAACAUCCCUUCCUAAAGCUACUAAUUAAGCCAUAAAAAAGUCUGCAUUGACACUGCAAAAAACCUUAAACUCCCAUCUUAGUAUCGUGAUUAAUUAUAAUUAGAAACAAACCUACUUAGCUUAGCUUAGGUAUAUAGGCCGGCCUUUACCAUGGGAAUUGAAGCAACCUUGUAAAGGCUGUAUAACAUUUUGGGAUCCACGUAUAUAUAAAUGCUUGUCUUAUGUUUCGUGUAUUUAUACUUAGGGUUAGGAUAAAAAAUUUUAAAACGCCUAAAACAAACUUUAUGCCAUUCUCGAAUUGAUUUUGCCAAUAAUAUAUAAAUUGUUUUUUCUUUUUCAUUUUUGGAAAAAUAUUCUUGAUUUCAGUGUCUUUUUUUUUUUUUUUUUUUUUUGUGAUGCUUUUGUUUAUUUAUAUAUUUAUUGUAGUUGUUGGCUGAAUUAUAGCAAAAAUAUUCCUUUUAUUACUCAAAAUUUAGAUAAAUUGUAAGUAAAAAGAAAAAUCAGAUUCAGAUGUACUUGGUUUCUGUAAUUAGUUGACGGAGUAAUAUUUCCAAUGUGAAAGAAAAAAGAAAAACCCAAUAGGAAUUAAUCAAACUGAUUUAGUCAAUCUUAAUUUGAUUUUGAGAUGCCCAAUGAUUUCUUUGUUUUUCUUUUAACGAAAUUUCUAACUGUUUAAUAUUAUCCACUAUUAGUAACUACUAACUAACGAAUCGCUGACUCUGAUUUUAAUAUAUUCAAAUUUAUAAAAAAGAACAUUUAAAUUUGAGCUUUCAAAUAUAUGUGUUUAAAUUUAAAAUUUCUCACAUUUGAUUGUUAAAAAUUUAAAUAAAAACAUCAAAAAUAUAUUUCUUCAAUUAGUAAAAUUGAAAUUGGAGAAAUGAUGGUUAUCUUAUAAAAUGAUUAGAGUAGGCUAAUUGGGUAGGUUUGAUUAUUAGUCUUCUUUAAUAAUUUGGAAUUGAACGAGUGGUUAACUUAGUAGACGUAAAGAGUAAGAACAUGCAUGGCAUAUAUAUAUGUGUUUGUAUUGGAAAUGCCAAAUGGAAUAGAAAACUGAAAAGGAAAAGACAGCAAACAUUCUUUUUAUUGCACGCUUCAAAUGAAGCUCCAGAAAGAAUCUUCCGAAGCAACUCUUUUUUUGAUGAAGAGGAAUAUAUAUAAAAGGAAGAGAAGGUGUGGAUGGGGAAGAAAGAAAUUGUCCAAAGUCUUGGUGGGAGAGAAUGUUCUUUGAUUCCGCAUGAUAACAAACAAUAAUAGUGGGAUGAUUCAUGGAUUUGAUUCAACUACCGUACUUUGAUUCCCAUUUACUAUCCCAUUUCAGAAAAAUUUAUAUCAUUUAACUCUCCAACUUUAACAAUUCUGAGAUAUGAUUUUUCCAAUUUCAGAUUAUAUCUUUCUAACUUGAAUUACAGCUAUGCAAGUAGCCGUUUCAUGAUUCUAAUUUAAUUCUAUUUUUCUUUGUAUAAGAUUUUGGCUUCCUUCCUGAACAUGACAUACAAUUUCGUACUCAUGAUUUACCAAUUAAUAUAACAACACAUUGGUCUCACUCUAUAAGUAGUCCAUGAACCCCAUUUAGUAACUGGAAAGGUUUGGUCCAAAGCAGCAUCAUGACUACCUUGCGAUGUACUUCAAAUCAGAUGGUUAGGAACUGUCAAUUGGUAACCAUUCACAGUUCUAGUUUCCAAUUCCUUGGCUCCCUACGUAGAUUCUCCAUUUAACAUGAUCACCGUAAUUAAAAUGUUAUUAGAAAAAGAAAAAAAGAAAAUGUAUAGUCAAGAUCUAUUUGGAAAAAUUAGUUAUUUGCUAACUGUCAGUUGUUUUAGUUGUUUAAUUGUUAGUUGUUUUAAUGAUUAAAAUGUUAAUUUUAAUCAUGUUUCAAUUAAAUGUAAAAAAAAUAAUUAUGUGAGAUGAAUGUGAACUUUAUACGCUUUGUAAUUUAUUAUUAUUAUUAUACCAUGAUCCACGUUUAUAGUUUUUCGAUUCAGUUGAUACAGGUAUACUCUAACCACUUAUUCGUCUAGAUGUCAUCUUGCCAUCUAAUAUGUUCUUUCCAAUUGGAUAAUAUCACACAAACAUAUACAUAAUAUAAUUUAUAUAUUAAAAUAUAAUUUUUGCAUAUUUCCACGAAUGCCAUCAACGAGCAGGCUACUUUGUCCUCGACGCCUAGUGAAGCAGAGAGUUUCUUUUCCCUCAUAUUUCUUUUUUUUUUUUUUUAUUUAAAAGUUGGUUAAUGGAAGUUAGUUACUCACACUAACGUAGGUAGAAAAAUAUUAUAUAUAUAAGCAGAGAGAAAUUGAGACCACUGACCAUUUCUUAUAUAUAUAAAUUCAGUAUUCUGAAUCACACCCUUGAAAAGUGUUGGUUUUAGCUCCGCAGGUGUCGGCCUUCAUUUUCUCCUCUAUUGAACAAAAACUAGAAGAUCCAUGGAGAUUAGACCCUCUCAAAAUUAAUUAUCCAUAGUUCCACAAAUCCAGGAAUUCCAAAUCUCUCUUUUGGAUAAGAAGAAGAUCAAAUUUCUCUCUUUCUCUGUCCCAAAUCCAUCUGUAUUUAAACAGCUCUCCUGAUGAGUUCUAUUUUGUGUCAAAAAGGGAUUCCUUCAGUUUCCUGUUCCGCAUCAACUUCUACAUAGUUAAUUUACUUAGCUAUAUCUUUUGUUUUGCCUUAUGGACUAUUACUUGAAAGAAGUGGAAGGCAAAAGAGUCCAUGACCCCUUCAACAAGAAAAUGGCCAUAUCACCAAGUAGGUGUAUAUGGGUACCAGGAGCUCUUAUUGUUGGUGCUGGUCCUUCAGGUUUAGCUACUGCUGCAUGUCUUAAAGAAAGAGGUGUUCCUAGUUUAAUUCUUGAAAGGGCUAAUUGCAUAGCUUCUCUAUGGCAACUCAAAACUUAUGAUCGUCUUCGUCUUCAUCUUCCUAAACACUUCUGUGAGCUUCCUCUUUUGCCUUUCCCAUCAAAUUUCCCUACCUACCCUACAAAACAACAGUUUGUGGGUUACUUGGAAUCCUACACCAAAUUUUUUGGUCUCGAACCAGUCUUUAAUAACACAGUUGUCAGUGCAGAAUUUGAUAGUCGAUGUGGGCUUUGGAAGGUUAAGUCGUCUGGGCUUAAAGAGGAAGAAUCUGAAUAUGUAUGCCAAUGGUUAAUCGUUGCCACCGGAGAAAAUGCGGAUGAGGUUGUGCCUGAUAUUGAAGGAAUGGCUGAUUUUCAAGGACUUAUAAUGCAUACAAGUUCCUAUAGGAGUGGCGAAGUCUUUAGAGGAAAGACUGCUUUGGUUGUUGGAUGUGGCAAUUCCGGUAUGGAGGUCUGUUUAGAUCUCUGCAACUACAAUGCUUACCCUUCCAUUGUUGUUAGAGACUCGGUGAGCAUCCUUUAAUUUUCUUUUUCCCUCUCUUCCUUUCUUUCUUUCUUUCAUUCUCAAGCAGUCAAUUUUUUGCUUUUAUUUUAACAUAUGCUUAAUUUAGAAAAGACAAAAUCAAAGAAAGUUUUCAUUUUUAUUAUACUGUUAUUGUUUUAAUAUGUUUGUAAAAUAUCUUUAUUAUUUUACUAUUCUUUGCCACAUAAACAUAAGCUAUUAUAUUUGUUGAGAAUAUGUUCUGCAACAAUACAGACAAAGCAACUGUGCGACUCUUUUAUGCCACUUUUUCACCCCACUUGAGGGAGUUCGGAAAUUACUUGUUGCAGACUCAACUGUAUAAUAUUGUAAGGUUUUGUUUUCUUUUGUUGACUUUAGCUGCGGUAACAGUUUAUAUUAAUCUCUUGGUGAAUAGAUUUCUGGAUUUUUUUUUUUGAAUGAAACAUCACGUAGUUUAUUGGUAAGUCAGAAGUAAACCCCAAUUGUCCUUUUUCUUUAAAAAAUUUUCGCUAUAAUGAUACAAACUAAUAAAUAAAUAAAUAAAAUCUUUGAAUUUGAUGUAUCACUUUCUUGGAAUUUGUUUGCAUGCGUAGCCAUAGUCAGCAUUCCAAAAACUCGUAUGUCUUAAUUCUUUUUGGGAUUCUACUCUGCACAGUAUUGCAGAUUCUAAAGUAUAUAUGGAAAAUAAGCGUAGAAAUGGUACAUAUCCUGAAAGUUGCAAAUUCACACAUUAGUCGGUGACAUGCGUGGGGGACUCAUUAGCUUAUCUAACCCACUCCUUCGAAACUUUUCAAGUAACUUUUUUCUUUCCUUUGGGGGUUUUUUUUUGCAGGUGCAUGUCCUGCCACAACAGAUGCUCGGAAGAUCAACUUUUGGAUUAUCCAUGUGGCUGCUAAAGUGGUUUCCUUUGAAGCUUGUGGAUCAAAUUCUGUUGUUUCUUUCAUAUUUCUUGCUUGGUGAUACUUCUAAACUUGGCAUUCAUCGCCCUAAACUUGGCCCCCUCCAACUCAAAAAUACCGCUGGAAAAACUCCUGUUUUAGAUGUUGGAACUCUCGCUAAGAUCAGAACUGGAGAGAUUAAGGUUAACUUUUUUUCUAUUGAGAUCAAAUAACAUUCAUAAAUGUUGUUUAUAAUUUAUUAUUUUAUAAUUAAUUGUAGGUUUUCCCAGAAAUAAAGAGAGUAAUGCGUGGUUCUGUGGAGUUUGUCGAUGGAAGGAUUCAAGAUUUUGAUGCUAUUAUUCUAGCCACAGGUUACAAAAGUAAUGUGCCUUACUGGUUGAAGGUUAGUUUAUUGAAUCUUUAACAUGAAAGAAGAAUGAUUCUGUUAAUGCAGAAUUAAAGUUUUUUUUUUUUUUUUUGAAAAAAAAGAUGAUCAUCAUGAAUUUUUGCGCUCAGGAGAACAAAAUGUUUUCAAAGAAAGAUGGAAUGCCCCACAAUUCAUUCCCAAAUGGAUGGAAAGGUGAAAAUGGACUGUAUGCAGUAGGCUUUACGAAGCGUGGCCUGCUUGGCGCAUCUAUUGAUGCAAGAAGAGUCGCACAAGACAUUGAGCUUCGCUGGAAAGCUGAAGCUACAAGUUUCAUGGCCAGUGCCCGUGCAUUGCCUCAGCAAUCAUGACUCCAGGGAAACAAAAACCAAAAAAAAAAAAAAAAAAAAAGAAAAAGAAAAAAAUUCCUCUCUCUUGAGUGAAGAUCCAAGCAUGCAGGAAAUAAUAGAACGAGAAAGGACAAGUUGUCUUUUUAACUUUUCGUAUGCACAGAAGCAAGCUAGGAAUGCUACAGAAAAAUUAAAGAUGGGUUUUGGGGGGGGGUGGGUUGAGAUUAUUAUUGGUUUUUUGAGGCAGGAGAAAAUUCUCAACGUGUGUACAUAGCUUGUGCUUUUCUUAAGAAACAAUUUUUUAUAUUCGCUAGUUUUCUGUUAUUAGUUUGGUAAAUAUUUAUAACAAGGGAAGGUUUGGUUUUGCAAUUAAUUUCAUAACAUGUUUCAAAGGGUAGGAGACUAGAAGCGGUGAGUUAAGUAUACUUAAUCAAUUAAUUAGCAACAUUUCCAAUUGGAUUUGAGAUUUUAUGUUAAAAAAAAUAAAGUAAGAUGGUUUCCAUCAGCAUAAGCUCUCAAGUCUCUACAUAGAAAUUGGUUUAUUUAAUUAAUAUUGGAUGGUAAAGCUAAGAAUAGACCACAAAUUUUGAGUUCUCAUUUAUUUUGGAUACCACAUGCAUAUAAAAUUUGAUUUAUUUUGAUCUGAAAAAAGAAGAGAUACCCAUCAAGGGUUCAUAUAUAUAUAUAAAUAGAAAGAGAGAACAUUCAACUGAUCAUCAUCUUGGGACCAUUUUAUAUCUCCUUUUGUAGAAAACAAAAGGCAAAAGUGAUUAUAAAAGAAAAGGGAAAAGAGAGGAAGAAAAAUUAAAUUGGAAAAGAAGAAAAAGAUCAUUUUGGUCGUGUAAAGGUCUUCUGCAGAAGCAAAUAUUAAGUGGCCCUCAGGUUCUCUUCUGUAUCUUUGUGUAUGAUCAACUUUCACUAUACAUAUUUAUUCACUUAAAAAAGUCAUAUAUUGGAUUAAUACUUAUCCUGGUUUGCCUUAUUGCUUGGCCUUUCUAUCCUCAUCAAAAAAAAUUGGACCACCAUCAUAUAAUCUGUGCUGAGUCCAGACAAUUAUCUCUAUGAUCAUAACUUCAUCAUCGUCAAUGCUUAAAAUGCUAAAUGGGGUAUGACAGUGCUCAAGACAAUUUGUCAAUGAAGAUUUAGGUAAAAUAGUAUGACACUUCUUUCCACUUUGAUGUUACACAACAAUCAACCUUUUCAGUCAAAUUAAAUUACAUUAAUUCAUUGCUUACAAAAAAACAAUCAGAUUAAAAUAAUUAUAGAAAAUAUUUCUUGAAAUCAAGACUUUUGUACAUAAAAUGCUAAAAUGAUUGGAAAAUUAUUGUACAUAUGAUUUGAAAGUUAUUGAAAAGAAAUUUGAAAAUGACAGUCCAUUCUUGGACACUGAUUUGUAUUCAGUCCUUAUUAUACACAUCUUAAUACAUAUCUAUACAGGUCAUACCGAAGAAAGAAAAAAGAAAAGAGAAAAAAGAAAAGAGAAAAAAGAAAAGAGAAGAAGAAGAAAAUGUUAAGUUUCGAUAGAUAAUUUUUGUCCUACUCUACCCCAGUCCAAUCGAAGCCUGCUCUUAAAACAGGCACCGUUUCUAGUUUUUCUUUAAAAGACGGCCAAGCUUAUCAAAAUUUCGCCACACAAAAUUGAUUAUAUAAAUACUGAUGAAUCAAGCAAGGUAAAAAAGAAACUUCAUGUGACAGUUAGAUUAUUAAGAGAGGGUAAAGUGUGGAAGGAUGUGGACAUGACAAUAAUGGAGUUGCAUCAGAGUACAGUAGUUAGGGUUUCAUAAUUUGUUGUUGGUGGGUUAUAUUCCGACCGACUGAAGUUGAUGAGCAUAUUCAUACAGUCGAAUCUUGUUGGGUUGAUUCACUAUAAGACACAUUAGCUAGUUAGCUAGCUACUCUCAACGUCAAAGGUUAGUUGUUAACCCGUAAAAUCUUGUAUUUUGUAUCUUGUUUUGGACCAGAAGGGCAUGCCCUACUAAUUAUUGUGUGGCCCAAUUAAUUCUUUGAUAAUGCUUUGGAUUGCAGACUUUCUUCUUCUUCUUUAAUCUAUGCUUAAGGGUCUACGGAUUAUCUUGUGCUAAGUUAAGUUUAUUUCCUUUCUUUUGGCUUUGUUGCAACUUGCUUUGCACAUUCUCCCACAAACAAACAUCAUCAUAUUCAUGUUUUCUCUUUUUCCAUUAUUCAAAUUCCACUAUAAAUAAAAGAUCAAAUAUAAUCAUAUAAAUAUAUAUCGGAUUGGCAUUUACAUUAUGUCAAUCCAAUGCUCUCCCACUAAGACUCAAAGCUGUCGUUUUUUCAAUAAAAAUUAAAUGUCAGUAGCCAAGUUAGAUAGAUAAAUGACAGUGUUUUUCUUCAGCCGACAGCAACUAGUUGCAAAUUCCUGUUUCACACAAGGCAAAAAGUACUAUAAGCAGUUUUCAGCGAAGGAAACUUAAAGGAAGGAAGGAAGGAAGGAAGGAGAAGUUGCCCUACAAAGUCGUAUGCAUGGUCCAGAGGCACGUGAUAGCCAUGCAGACAUUUGGCACUGAGUCACACCGCCGGGGCUGCUUUCUCUGCUACAGCUACGCAUAAUGCACAUGUGUACUCGUGGAUUUGGACCAUCCAUUUGAUUUUGAUCCAUUUACUGCUCUUUAUUGUCAGUGGUCCUUUAUUAAUCUAUGGUAGUAAACUGUCUUCAUCCUUCUAUUUUUCCCAUGGACCAUUUCCCAUUAUUAACACUUAAAACGCGUUAUGGUCUUUGAGUUAGACUUAGAUUGUUAUGUUUUCUUCUUUUUUGUUUUCUGAUAGAGAAUGACUUAUGUACAGUUGGUUUAAAUACAUAAUGCUCUAUUUCUUUUACUUUUAGGCCAUAAUUUAUUAUAUGUAUUCAGUGUUAAAUGCUCAUUUCUAUAAUAUAAAAAUUUUUAGAGUUAAUAUUCUUGAUUUAUCCUUAUUAAUCCUUGAAUUCAAAAUUUCAUUUAUCAUAGAAGCUGAUAGAAUGAAAGAGAAGAAUAUGACAUCUCGCUGAAUUAAUGGUAGUUAUAGCUAACUUGUAUAAUCUUUUAAUGGUAAUUUAUAUGAUAAUUUCCUUUUUAAAUUAUAGCAUCCACUCUAUUAUUAAUUUUUUAAAAUUUUUAUGUGUGAUAUAAGUUACUUGGAUUGAAAAAUCAAUGUUUAAAGAUUAGUACUAACUAAUUAAUUAGCUUUAUGGAUGUGAUGUUUAUUCAAUGGGUGAUGAACAGCUAAGUUAUGCAUAGACAGCAUGGAAAAAUAACGAGUGAUAGAAAGAAAUGGAAAUAAAUUGAUAAUUGUUUACGAUAUUUGCUAUAUGCAAAUAAUAGAAAGUAAACGUGGUUAAAGACUUAAAGGGCUAGGCUUUGGAGAUAGAAUCAAAAAAAAAGGUUAUCCUUCGAGUGUAAAGAGUUGGCUUUAUUACGUACAUGAAAAGAGCAAGACAGGCAGGCGCGCGACUGUGAAUGGGAGAAGACUACUGCAUAGAUUUUAUUUAUUGUUGUAACGAAGGAAAGCAAUUUUGGUAUUGACCAAACAAUAUUCUAAAAUUUAUUGGAUUAAAACUAAAUCAUGCAUACUCCUGUGUUAAUUAACCAAAGAGUAAAAUGCGAAUCAAUAUCAAUCAGGUAUUAUAUGAUUUGAUAUGAGAAAUGAGAAGUCUUGACUAACCAAAGGAUAAAAUGCGAAUCAAUGUCAAUUAAAUAUUAUAUGAUUUGAUAUGAGAAAUGAGAAGUUUUUUGUUUCAAUUAUCUUGAUUAUAAAAAAUUUUCACCAAUUUUGGUGAAUAAAAAGAAAACAUUACUUCUAUUGUGUACUUUAUCGUAUAUUUUGGUCUAUUUUCCUCCCGAUAAACAUCAUAAGUGAAAAAAAGGCAAUUUUGAUAUGCAUAAUCAACGCUUUUCUUUGCCCUUUCUUCAACAUGGUAUGCUAUUUAGGACCACCAUUUGCAACUUGCAUCUUCAAUCAUUAGACCAUCCCUAGUUCCAUAUGUCAUAGCUAAGAAUUAAAUCUGGAAGAGAGUACCAAUUUCUCGAAUUUCUGACUUUCUACGCUUUGAGUGAUACAUACAGUAGUCGAAUGACAUGUAUUGUCCUAUUCUAAAGUGAUGGAAUACUCUGAAGUGUAUAUAUAGAUUUUUAUUAUUAUUGCAGUCACUCUCUUAUCUCACUUAAUUAAUUAGAGAAACAUCAGUUCAACAAACAUUCACCAUGAUUAAAUGAUUUGAGAACGAUUCUUUGCUACCUAAAUCUUGGAAUAUUGUGAUUGAUUGCUUCUAGAACUGUACAUCAUCUUCGUGUCUUUUCAAAAUUUCCUGUGGGGAAAAGAUAAACAAAGUUAUAUUUUACACUUGAAAAAUGCACUUAUUAGGGUGAAAACUGAAAAGGGUAAAUAAUAUAUUAUUAUUGCUAAAUCGACAGGUUAGAAAAAUUAUAUGCUACGUGAAAAUCAAGUUGGAAGUCCUAUUGCAUUAAAGUGAAAAAAGAGAGCUCCAUCAAUGAUUUGAGGAUGAGAUAGAUAAAUCGUAGCCACCAAAAGAAUUGUUGAAGCGAAGAAAGGUUUGUAUCCCCAAGAGAGCUAAGCAAAAAAGAUGCAUCUUUUUUAUCUCCCUUUUGAUAGUGUAAGGAGAUACGACUGCAUAAAGAGCAGAUUCCAUUACUCUACUCCACAUGGACAUUGUGGCUUUUGUAGUGGAAUUUGUCUCCUUUCUCUGUUGGAAUCUCAAUGGAUACUAGAAGAAUCUUCCCUAGUUUCAAAACAGAAUGUACAAAUUCUAGCUAUACCUACUAAAAACAAAAUCGUCAAUAGUCAACGUCUACAUAUAUUAGAUUCCAUGUUGUAAUAAUAACACAGUAUGUGUGAGUCGUUGGCUCUGUUGGCAGAAUACAGGAAUCUGGGUAAUGGGAUCCACGCUCCACACCAGGUUUAGUGGUACUGGAGAGUGCACUAUAGAUUCUUUCUGUAUUUACAUUCCUCUUUGCAGGAAGAGAGCGUCUUUGUUUUUAUUUAGUUUUAGGUUGUUAGAGUGAAGGGAUAUAAGAAAUCCAUUUGUUUCAAUCUAAAAACCUUGAAUCUAUAAGAUUCCCUCAAUCUAGAGGAUAUACGUUGAAACGGGGAAGGAUUCCAUUUUUAUAUAUUAAAUCAAUUAAAAACAGUUUUUUUUUUCAUUGCAAACGAGAGGUAUUUGUGACUGUUCAUAGGGGAAAAAAAAAAAAACAGAAACCGUAUUUUAAAGAACUUUUUUUUGAUUGGGUCGCGUGUGAUGUUUUUAUACACUACGUGUAGACAAAGCAAAACAAUUGGCCUACACAAGCGGUGAGGAUACAACAUGUUGGCCCAAAAAUAAGAUGAAAAUGGGCUGUUCAAAUUAUAUAGUCCAAACUAACUUGGAUUUACCGUUUUGGACCUUUGUUUAGCUUUGAAACCAAUAUGUUAUAGAAAGAAAGUUUAUGGGCCUCCAAUUGGCCCAAUAAGUUGAACCUUAACCCUCCUGAAAUUAUGAAUGCAUACACAAUUAUUAAAAAAGAAAAAAAACACAAAUAUAUAAAUGAAAGUUGAAAGUGUUACUGAAAAAAAAAAAAUAUUUAUCACAAAAUAAUUAUCUCAAAUUAUAUCCAUAAUCAAAUCCUACACCAAAUUAGAGGAAGGAAAAAUUGAAAAUACACAAUAGAAACAUCGUAGUUAAUCAAAGUCAGAACUGCAAGCUUCUAGCGCUUAACAUUUAAUGCUUGAAUUCUUUAAAAAAAAAAAAAAAAAACACUUAAUACUUGAAAUACUCUAAACAUUGUCUUUUCAUGUUCUUCAUCUCAAACUCAUUAGUAUCACAAAACUCAGAGAAUUGAGGAACUUGCAUUUGAGAAGAAACAUUAGGCAUGAUUGAGCCUUGUCCAGAACCUAACAGAGACAACUGCCUCAUUUCCCCGCAAUAGCUUACUGGAUGAGGGAUCCCACCAUUAUGAUUAUUCAAUAUCACCAUAUUACCUGCCGUCUGAUCAGCUUCUUGAGCUCCAAAUUGACUCAAAUCUGUACCGUUGGCUUUCAUCAUCAUCAUCAUCAUCAUAGGACUAUUAAGAGGAUUAACAUUAAAAGGAAGCACCUGAUGAUGAUCAAAUGGCUGCUGUAAUUCUGUACACUUUUGUUGCAAGGCAUUAGCGAAGGUAGAAGCCAUUGAAUUGUAUCUAUUAUUAAUAUUAUUAUUGCUCGAGCUUCCUUGAAUAAUAUUAACUGACUUGGAAUCUUCACCGAUCAUCAAAUAAUUGUCACCUUUUAUCUUCAAAAUCCUACUCAUUGCAGUUUCAAGCUUAGACUGUAAAACAGUAUGCAAUAAACAGAGUUCUUCAAGUUCCGAUGAGUUUAAACGAUUAUCCCAAGUAGGAAACUUGGCUUCCAAACAGGCCCUAUGCAUUUUAGUAAUCUCAUCGUCCAAUUUUCUCUUGCGAGUCUCAAAAAAAUGCGACAAAUCUUGACUUUUCUUGCGGUCAUUGCCAUGUGAUUUGUAACGGUCUAUAAUUUUCUUGAUUUCGGAGUGAUCGGUCGGGCAGGUAUCGACGUCAAUGGGACGGUUACUGAAUUUCGGACCAAAGAUUAUCACACAAGCAUCUACGUCGCAGAGAACUCGAAACUCGUGCAGUUUCUUUGUCAAACCUUUCUUUCUUUUCUGAUAUGUCACCAUGCGAGACCUCUCGUUGGUAAUUAGUUUCAUGCUCAGCUUUCCACGUCCCAUCUCUUCGAUCUACAUUUAAAAAAAAAAAAAGAACUGAAAUUAUCAGAAAAUUAAUAUUUAAAGUAUCCUAUAAAACAAAUUGCAACUAACAAAUGGAGAAAUUAAUUACAAAAACACUUUCUGCCAUGAGCUCGAAAUGAAAUUAGUUUCAUUUCCCAAAAAGGAUAUAGAUAUACUCGGAAAACAAAAUGAAAAAAAUACCAAAAAAAAUUUGAUAAAUUAGAAGACAUUUUAGACUUGAAUGGCUAUGUUUUUGCAUAAAGGGAAACACAAUGGAGAAGGUGUUGGUAUAAUAAGAGAGAAACCUGGUUUUAAAAGCCUUUGAUCUAACUACAGCAAGCCAAGAAUGGAGAUUUUUCAUUUUUUUUUUUUUCCAUAGAGCUUUAUAAAGGGAAAACUGUGUUGCUUCAUAAUAAAGAAUAUUACUAUUAUGGAAAAUGAAUCAUCAUCCGCUGAUUUUUGCAUAAAAAAAUUAGGAAUUUAAUUUGUAUAGCAAUGCCCAACAGGCGGAUUUUUCCAUUUUGCUAUCUUGCAGGCCGACAGAACAUUGCUAAUACCAUAUUACUAUAUUUGGAAUCCCAUCACUCACUCUAAAUAGGAAAUACAUUUAUUACUAUCUCUUAUUUAUUUAAAAAAUCAUUAAAAUGAAAGACAUUUUAUAUAUAUGGAAACAAAAAUCUUUCCAAGCUGGAUUUCAAUUUUCAUUUCAACUGAUUCAUUUUUGCAUCAAAUAUUUUCCUUAUCAUUUAUAUUAUGGACCAGAUCAUCUUGAUUAAAAAAAAAAAAAAAAAGUUUUAACUAAGCAUUAGUUGGGCUGGGCUUCAUCGCCGUAUUGUUAGUUUGGGUUGAGAGGAUUUCUUUAUAGUCUAUGACUUAGUAACCAAAGUUGGGCCUAGAUGAAUUAGUUUGCAUGAUCUGAUCCAGAUAAUUUAUUUUAAAGAAAAAUUCACAUUCAGAAUUUUUUUUUUAAUAAUAAUAACAAUUUAAUAAUCAGAUUAAUGAGUGAAUAUAAACUUUCUUUCAUGAUUUUUUCUGGCUUUGAUUCAAUCAAUUUCUGCUUCAAGAUGAGAAGAAAUAAUAGUAAAAGCUUUAAUUGAAUCUUCUUUGCUGUCUUAAUUACCUUUUUUUUCGCAGAAUAAUUGUGCAUCUUAUCAAAUAUGUCCUAUUAAAUGCAUUAUCCGAGAGAAUUAAAAUGGAAAUUGAUAAUUAGAAACUGAUUACACAAAACAUAACCAGAGACAUAAAAUCUAUAAAUCAAAAAAGAAUAUAAACAAAAAAUAAUAAAAAGACAACCUGAAACAUUGUCAGAAAUUCUCCAUCUUCAUCAAAUCUCCUUUAGGAGGAGAAAAUUAAGCCUAUAGUCUAAUGGAAGAUAGACUAUUUGGCUUUGAAUUGACACUGCGAGGAGUUCCAGCUGGUUGAACAAAAAUUUCUGCAUACAUUUCCAUGAAGAAAUUGUCAACAAUGUCCAGAUAAGCAGGGCAUGUUAAACGAGAAUAAUAAUGGAGAAUCUCUUCUAUGUCUAGAACAUGAUCCACAUUACUAACAUCCAUCAUUUCUAGCUCCCUUAGCUUCUGCGCCACCAAAAAGCUCCUUCCGUCAUCUUUUACGCUAUAAUUUGAACUAUUCUCCACCAAUCUUUUCCCUCUUUGGAAACCCUUGCCCUUGUUAUUACUAAUAUACGUUUUAACAGGACUCUUCUUCGAGAAUUUCAUGAAACUUCCAUUUAGACCAUCACUUUUUUCUUGCUUGGCUGGUGAUGACGGUCGCGGUUGUUCUAUCUUCUUCUUGUUUCCUUUAUUCAUUUCCUUUCCUUUAUCAGUAUCCCACCUGUCGCUGAAGUCAGUGUAGAAGUUGUCCAAAUCAUUUUUAUUGAAUCUUGUUUGGACAUUAGAGUACGGAUUGUAUGGAGAUAAGGUUUUGGGCAUUUUUUCGUAAGAAGAACCAGAAAAGAAAGACUUGAAGCUUUGUAAGGUUUUCUGGAAGAAUUUCUUGGUGUUGGAGAAGGAGCUUUUUAGCAACAUUGUCAAUGGUGGUGGUUAGUUCAGUUGUUUUAUGUGGAGGUACAAAAGAAACAGAUACUAUUUGUCUCUCUAUCUCUCAGUUUCUUUAUAGAGAAAGAAGAGAUAGAGGAGCCAUGAAAGGUUCUUGAAAUUACUAAAGAGAAAGAAAAGAGAAUGCAGUGGGCAGCAUUAUGUCUGUUUGUCUUUACACGCUCUUCUUUUUUCUUUUUGUUGUAUUAAUUUCUUGAAAUCCAGCUGAGUCCCCACCCACUGAUCAUAUCUCUCUCCCACACACGAAGGUAUCGAAAGAAAAUGGUAAAGCUUAUGUGAAAGUUUGAUGAAUAUUUAUUAUAAGAAAGUUUUCCAUCAUUUUUACUUUGUAAGGUGGAGUUGGUGUGUAGGGCUCUUUGGGAGAAAGGAAAGGAAAGGAGCGGGUGUGGUUGUUGAACUGGCUCUUUCUUUCUCUACAUUCUUUGGCUCUAGCGGCUUGUUGGUAAGAGUUCUGUUAUCGUAUAUUGCCUGCUGUUCUCCCUAUAUAUACACAUACAAAUACAUUCUCAUUGUACAUCCCCAUAUAAGAUUUAAUUCAAUAAUAAAUAAUGGGGCCACAGAAUUGCAAAUUAAGUAUUAUCAACUAUAUUAAUCACAUGGAGACAAAAAAAAAAAAAAAAAUUGUGUGUGAAGAUUUUUUUUUAAUUUUAUGAUAUGGCUCUAUAAAUCAAAUUUUAAUUAACAAAAUGAGAGUAAACUCACUUGUUUAAUGAAUUAUGAGUUUAAAUUUAAUAAAUACUACUAACUAAUUAGUAGGAUAAUUAAAAUCAUUGGAGGUAGGCAUGACGUCUAUGUAAUAAGGUGUAGAGUAUCUCUCUCAUAGACACUUCAAUCAUUAGGAUGUCUCUUUUAAUCGAUGUAGUAAUUAGUAAUUAGGAUUAGAUUUGUUUAUUUUGCUCGUAAUAUAUUAAAAUGUUUUGGUUCGAGAAUCAUAAGAUGAUGGACCAUUCCCUCCCCACUAUAAGACAAAUUCCCGUGAAUCACGGAUUGGAUCGACUUGCACUAUUUCUACACUAUUAAUUAAGUCAAAACCAACACUAAUUGACCAAAAGUAAGCCAUAAGACCAACAAUGUCUCUAAUCAUUGAUGAUUUUUUUUUUUUUUUGGGAUGAAUGAUAUUAUUUUAUUUGAUACAUUAAUACCCAAUUAAUAUUUAAAAUUGAAUCAUUAACUACUAUAGUAAGCAAUUUAUCAUUGUAUUCUAACAAUAUUGAAAUUAAUUUUUUUUACACCCAAAUAUAAACCUAUAGCCUGGGUGAUUCCAUAGAUUGCAGGGGCAACGUAUGUUACCGUUAAGCAGCAUAAUUAUACUUUGGCUUUUUAGGUAUUAUUAUUAUUAUUAUUAUUAUUAUAAAGAAUGUUGGCGGCUCGGAGUAGGAGUUAAUGGAAGACAAAAGUGACUAGUGAUUAGGACAAGAGAGCUGUUGAGGUCUAAGAGAAGAUAUAGGGAUAGUUGUAUACUUUUUGAUAAUGUUUGACCAAUUGCUACUGGCCACGCGUUUUGGCGUUCGGAACCAGUCUCCAUCCCUAUCUAGUUCCUUACUAUUCACUCUGACCUAACGGGAACCGCUCUUCGUACGGCUUCAUUUUUUUUUACCCUUUAUUAAUUAACCACUUCCUAUGACUUUUCAAUUUCAUCAAGUAACACAAGAAAUAAGUAAAGCUUUAAUCAAGAAAGCAUCAACCUAAGAAAAAAAAAUGAAAAUAGAAAAGAAAGACAAAUAAAUAAUGUGAAAACAAGUUGUAUUGAUAUAUUAUUCACUUGCCUUUACAACCAGCAUAAUAGGAAUUUCACUAAAUGGGGAUACAAUGCCUAUCUAAAUUGGAAAUAAAACCUUAUAAAAAUUAAAGUUUAAUAUAAAAAAAAAAGAUUUAUAAAAUUAUUCUGAGUGGAAACAAAUUUGUAUAAUUACUAACUAUGACGGUAUAUUUGCAACUUUUUUGGACCCUAAAACUUAAUUUUAAGCCGAUGUCAAUAUUACUAUGGAAAAUAAUAUUUAUCUAAUGAAUGGUAAACGUUCAUUUUCACCUUUAUUUCUAUCAUUUUCAUAUGAAAGACGAGAAAGAAGAGGAAAAUGAGAAAGUUCCUUACGGCACCUAGUUUAAAUGUAUGGAAUUCUAUUCGAUUUCAUCAUCUUACUAGUUGUUACAUAAAAUUAGAAAGGCUUGGCAAAGAGCCUCCUAAAAUGAUGUAUGAAGCUGCUUUUCUUUGAGAAGAUGUAUGCAGCUUUUAUAAGCAAAUGAAGCAAAUGAAGGUGAAAAAACGGAAAUGCCAAACAAAGUCAAAAAAAAAAAAAAAAAAAAAAAAAAAAAAAAAAAAAAAAGUGAGGGACAUUAAUCAUCCAGAAUUAUAGCUCUUACAUGUUCUCUCUUGAACAACAACAGAAAAACCAAACACAUAAAUAAAAUCAUUUAGGCACUAUACAAGCACAAACUUUUAAACCAUUUAACCAUUCACAGAUGUCAUAUAGACAUUAGUCAUCCAGCAUUAAUGUGAUACUUCCAUAUAAACUUUAUCAAACCAGUAAUAAUAUCAAUAGCUGUUAGAGUUUCUCUUGAACUAUAGAAAAACCGAAUACAUCUACUAGUUGCAGUGCAACAAAGACAUUCUCCAUUAACAGAGACAAACACAUUCUCUAUCCUCCAUCAACAAAAUCAACAUCUUCAUCUGACCUCAGCGAGCUUCAUACUGAACAACUGCAAGAGGCAAACUUUUUGUGUUAAACCAAAUGAUUAAGCACUGAUAAGUCUUAAGAGUCAAGGGAGUCUGCAUCAGACAAACCAUAAGAUUUUGCUGAAAUCUAGACAUGUAAAAUAUACAUGUGGGAGAAGUGUCUAUGAAAGGAUAUAAAGGCCAAACAAGAAACAAGCACUAAAUGCAUGGUUACAACUGUUGCAUUGUAAACAUGUCAGUAUGUUGCAAAUUGUGGCCGGCACCAUAAAGAAACUUCUUAAAAAAAAAAAAAAAAAAAAUCAAAAAAAAACAAAAAAAAAAAAAAAAAAAAAAAAAAAAAAAAAAAGAAAA
RNAcentral lists this long non-coding RNA (25640 nucleotides) under Jatropha curcas. Its description in RNAcentral is "long non-coding RNA (JCUR_LNC001841)". Lineage: Eukaryota; Viridiplantae; Streptophyta; Magnoliopsida; Malpighiales; Euphorbiaceae. The record is from RNAcentral.